UAUGAACCGUUAUAACCGGCGAUUUCCGAAUGGGGAAACCCAGUGUGACUCGUCACACUAUCAUUAACUGAAUCCAUAGGUUAAUGAGGCGAACCGGGGGAACUGAAACAUCUAAGUACCCCGAGGAAAAGAAAUCAACCGAGAUUCCCCCAGUAGCGGCGAGCGAACGGGGAGGAGCCCAGAGCCUGAAUCAGCAUGUGUGUUAGUGGAAGCGUCUGGAAAGGCGCGCGAUACAGGGUGACAGCCCCGUACACAAAAGCGCAUGUGCUGUGAGCUCGAUGAGUAGGGCGGGACACGUGGUAUCCUGUCUGAAUAUGGGGGGACCAUCCUCCAAGGCUAAAUACUCCUGACUGACCGAUAGUGAACCAGUACCGUGAGGGAAAGGCGAAAAGAACCCCGGCGAGGGGAGUGAAAAAGAACCUGAAACCGU
Molecule: ribosomal RNA, 430 nt
Filed under: Salmonella enterica subsp. enterica serovar Derby
Lineage: Bacteria; Pseudomonadati; Pseudomonadota; Gammaproteobacteria; Enterobacterales; Enterobacteriaceae
Also listed under: 1 other name
Description: partial 23S ribosomal RNA
Rfam family: Bacterial large subunit ribosomal RNA
Source: RNAcentral